GUGUCAGCAGCCGCGGUAAGACGAACCGUCCGAACGUUAUUCGGAAUCACUGGGCUUAAAGGGUGCGUAGGCGGCGCGGAAAGUUGGGUGUGAAAUCCCUCGGCUUAACCGAGGAACGGCGCCCAAAACUACCGUGCUCGAGGGAGAUAGAGGUGAGCGGAACUUAGGGUGGAGCGGUGAAAUGCGUUGAUAUCCUAAGGAACACCGGUGGCGAAAGCGGCUCACUGGAUCUCUUCUGACGCUGAUGCACGAAAGCUAGGGUAGCGAACGGGAUUAGAUACCCCGGUAGUCC
RNAcentral lists this ribosomal RNA (292 nucleotides) under uncultured bacterium. Its description in RNAcentral is "partial 16S ribosomal RNA". It matches the Rfam family "Bacterial small subunit ribosomal RNA", at positions 505 to 796 of the family's 1533-position model. The record is from RNAcentral.